Non-coding RNA from Apiosordaria backusii, 87 nucleotides. The record is from the annotation of a GenBank genome assembly. Lineage: Eukaryota; Fungi; Ascomycota; Sordariomycetes; Sordariales; Lasiosphaeriaceae.
GGUCCGCUGGCGUAAUGGCAGCGCGUCUGACUACGAUUAUCUAAUCACACAAUCAGGAGGUUCCAGGUUCGACCCCUGGGCGGAUCG